GAUAAAGAAGGCUGUGCAGCAGGAAGGCUUUGGCAGAAAAAAGCGAGGCUAUAGAGAGAUCAAUGAAAUUGACAUAAACAUGAAUGAUCCUUUAUUUACAAAGCAGUGGUACCUGAUCAACACUGGUCAAGCAGAUGGGACCCCUGGACUUGAUCUAAAUGUGGCUGAAGCCUGGGAGCUGGGAUAUACUGGGAAAGGUGUUACCAUAGGAAUUAUGGAUGAUGGAAUUGAUUAUCUUCAUCCUGAUCUUGCCUCAAAUUAUG
This is a non-coding RNA of Chrysemys picta bellii (western painted turtle), 263 nucleotides long. Lineage: Eukaryota; Metazoa; Chordata; Testudines; Emydidae. The record is from RefSeq and is a predicted model, not a curated record.